UUCUGGUUGAUCCUGCCGGCAGGCACCGCUAUCGGAAUAACGAUUAAGGCAUGCGAGUCGAGAGGUGCAAGACCUCGGCAGACGGCUGAGUAACACGCGGGUAACCUGCCCUGGAGUGGGGGAUAAUCUCGGGAAACUGAGGAUAAUACCCCAUAGGUGUGGUAUGCUGGAAUGCUUCCACGCUGAAAACCACGGUGCUCCAGGAUGGGCCUGCGGCCUAUCAGGCUGUAGUGGGUGUAAACGGACCCACUAACCUACGACGGGUAGGGGCGUUGAGAGACGGAGCCCCCAGAUGGAUUCUGAGACACGAAUCCAGGCCCUACGGGGCGCAGCAGCUACGAAAACUGCACAAUGUGGGAAACCACGAUGCGGGUAUUCCGAGUGACAACGCAUUGCGUUGUCUGUUCUUUCGCCUAAAAGCGAGAGAAGUAAGGGCCGGGUAAGAACGGUGCC
RNAcentral lists this ribosomal RNA (453 nucleotides) under uncultured euryarchaeote. RNAcentral's name for it is "bacterial SSU rRNA". It matches the Rfam family "Archaeal small subunit ribosomal RNA", at positions 1 to 459 of the family's 1478-position model. The record is from RNAcentral. Lineage: Archaea; Methanobacteriati; Methanobacteriota.